RNAcentral lists this ribosomal RNA (253 nucleotides) under uncultured bacterium. RNAcentral's name for it is "partial 16S ribosomal RNA". It matches the Rfam family "Bacterial small subunit ribosomal RNA", at positions 524 to 776 of the family's 1533-position model. The record is from RNAcentral.
CACGUAGGGCGCAAGCGUUGUCCGGAAUUAUUGGGCGUAAAGAGCUCGUAGGCGGUCUGUUGCGUCCGCUGUGAAAACUCGGGGCUUAACCCCGAGCCUGCAGUGGAUACGGGCAGACUAGAGGUAGGUAGGGGAGAAUGGAAUUCCCGGUGUAGCGGUGAAAUGCGCAGAUAUCGGGAGGAACACCGGUGGCGAAGGCGGUUCUCUGGGCUGACACUGACGCUCAUGCACGAAAGCGUGGGGAGCAAACAGG